CUUGAUUAACUAUAAGAGGUCAAGCCUGCCCAGUGACAUUGUUCAACGGCCGCGGUAUCCUAACCGUGCGAAGGUAGCGUAAUCACUUGUCCUUUAAAUAAGGACUAGUAUGAACGGCUUCACGAAGGCUAUACUGUCUCCUUAAUCUAAUCAAUUAAACUAAUCUCCCCGUGAAGAAGCGGGGAUUCAUCUAUAAGACGAGAAGACCCUAUGGAGCUUUAAACAUCUAAGACACUUGAUUUUACCUACUAAACUUCAUGCAACCUAUCCUUCUGUCUUAAGUUUUAGGUUGGGGUGACCACGGAGAAAAAUUAAACCUCCACGUAGAAAGAAAAUUCUUUUCUAAGCAAAAAGCCACAUCUUAACGCAUCAAUAUAUUGACUUACUUGACCCAAUUUCUUGCUCAACGAAC
RNAcentral lists this ribosomal RNA (412 nucleotides) under Allobates femoralis group sp. ABGD cluster 9. Its description in RNAcentral is "partial large subunit ribosomal RNA". It matches the Rfam family "Bacterial large subunit ribosomal RNA", at positions 1834 to 2457 of the family's 2925-position model. Lineage: Eukaryota; Metazoa; Chordata; Amphibia; Anura; Aromobatidae. The record is from RNAcentral.